This 1441-nucleotide ribosomal RNA is filed under the name Escherichia coli. RNAcentral's name for it is "bacterial SSU rRNA". It matches the Rfam family "Bacterial small subunit ribosomal RNA". The record is from RNAcentral. Lineage: Bacteria; Pseudomonadati; Pseudomonadota; Gammaproteobacteria; Enterobacterales; Enterobacteriaceae.
GUUUGAUCAUGGCUCAGAUUGAACGCUGGCGGCAGGCCUAACACAUGCAAGUCGAACGGUAACAGGAAGAAGCUUGCUUCUUUGCUGACGAGUGGCGGACGGGGGAGUAAUGUCUGGGAAACUGCCUGAUGGAGGGGGAUAACUACUGGAAACGGUAGCUAAUACCGCAUAACGUCGCAAGACCAAAGAGGGGGACCUUCGGGCCUCUUGCCAUCGGAUGUGCCCAGAUGGGAUUAGCUAGUAGGUGGGGUAACGGCUCACCAAGGCGACGAUCCCUAGCUGGUCUGAGAGGAUGACCAGCCACACUGGAACUGAGACACGGUCCAGACUCCUACGGGAGGCAGCAGUGGGGAAUAUUGCACAAUGGGCGCAAGCCUGAUGCAGCCAUGCCGCGUGUAUGAAGAAGGCCUUCGGGUUGUAAAGUACUUUCAGCGGGGAGGAAGGGAGUAAAGUUAAUACCUUUGCUCAUUGACGUUACCCGCAGAAGAAGCACCGGCUAACUCCGUGCCAGCAGCCGCGGUAAUACGGAGGGUGCAAGCGUUAAUCGGAAUUACUGGGCGUAAAGCGCACGCAGGCGGUUUGUUAAGUCAGAUGUGAAAUCCCCGGGCUCAACCUGGGAACUGCAUCUGAUACUGGCAAGCUUGAGUCUCGUAGAGGGGGGUAGAAUUCCAGGUGUAGCGGUGAAAUGCGUAGAGAUCUGGAGGAAUACCGGUGGCGAAGGCGGCCCCCUGGACGAAGACUGACGCUCAGGUGCGAAAGCGUGGGGAGCAAACAGGAUUAGAUACCCUGGUAGUCCACGCCGUAAACGAUGUCGACUUGGAGGUUGUGCCCUUGAGGCGUGGCUUCCGGAGCUAACGCGUUAAGUCGACCGCCUGGGGAGUACGGCCGCAAGGUUAAAACUCAAAUGAAUUGACGGGGGCCCGCACAAGCGGUGGAGCAUGUGGUUUAAUUCGAUGCAACGCGAAGAACCUUACCUGGUCUUGACAUCCACGGAAGUUUUCAGAGAUGAGAAUGUGCCUUCGGGAACCGUGAGACAGGUGCUGCAUGGCUGUCGUCAGCUCGUGUUGUGAAAUGUUGGGUUAAGUCCCGCAACGAGCGCAACCCUUAUCCUUUGUUGCCAGCGGUCCGGCCGGGAACUCAAAGGAGACUGCCAGUGAUAAACUGGAGGAAGGUGGGGAUGACGUCAAGUCAUCAUGGCCCUUACGACCAGGGCUACACACGUGCUACAAUGGCGCAUACAAAGAGAAGCGACCUCGCGAGAGCAAGCGGACCUCAUAAAGUGCGUCGUAGUCCGGAUUGGAGUCUGCAACUCGACUCCAUGAAGUCGGAAUCGCUAGUAAUCGUGGAUCAGAAUGCCACGGUGAAUACGUUCCCGGGCCUUGUACACACCGCCCGUCACACCAUGGGAGUGGGUUGCAAAAGAAGUAGGUAGCUUAACCUU